This 522-nucleotide long non-coding RNA is filed under the name Mus musculus (house mouse). Its description in RNAcentral is "RIKEN cDNA 1810053B23 gene". The record is from RNAcentral. Lineage: Eukaryota; Metazoa; Chordata; Mammalia; Rodentia; Muridae.
GUACUGCAGGCUUCAGCUGACCUGGACUUUCCAGAGUGUCUCUUUUGGUGAGAGACAUUCGGUGUCCCACGUGUUGUGACCUUUUCUUACGGGAACAGCUGGAGGUUGCAAACAUGGUCGAGAAAGAACUCGCAGCUGAGACCCAUCUCAGGAGGUGCCUGUCUCCUCCAGGGCCACUCAACACAUCCAAUACUGUGACACAGGCCUUCCUAACCGUCUCUGGUGACAACAGGACAGGAACAUCACAGCUGUUUAUGUGCUAUGAUUUCCUAUGUGUGCACACAGGAAUAAGACUCUCUUGCCUUGCCCACAAACCACUCUUCACUCUUGGGAUGACCUUGCUCCAGCUGGGAUCAGAAGUUCUAGAGCAUUCUGGGUAUGAAAUCAAGGCCUGUGGGGAAAAUUUUAGCACCCAGUGUCUGCCCCGGUGUGCUUAGUGUCACCCCCAUAAGCGUUGACUUCACUAUCCCCCGUGUCCUGACUCCUAUAAAGAUGUUGAGUAAGCUCUGAGGUUUCCUGCCA